AUUGAACGCUGGCGGCAUGCUUUACACAUGCCAGUCGAACGGCAGCGCGGGCUUCGGCCUGGCGGCGAGUGGCGAACGGGUGAGUAAUACAUCGGAACGUGCCCAGUAGUGGGGGAUAGCUCGGCGAAAGCCGGAUUAAUACCGCAUACGACCUGUGGGUGAAAGCGGGGGAUCUUCGGACCUCGCGCUAUUGGAGCGGCCGAUGGCAGAUUAGCUAGUUGGUGGGGUAAAGGCCUACCAAGGCGACGAUCUGUAGCUGGUCUGAGAGGACGACCAGCCACACUGGGACUGAGACACGGCCCAGACUCCUACGGGAGGCAGCAGUGGGGAAUUUUGGACAAUGGGCGAAAGCCUGAUCCAGCAAUGCCGCGUGUGUGAUGAAGGCCUUCGGGUUGUAAAGCACUUUUGGCGGGAACGAAAAGGACUGUGCCAAUACCACGGUUCGAUGACGGUACCCGCAGAAUAAGCACCGGCUAACUACGUG
RNAcentral lists this ribosomal RNA (484 nucleotides) under uncultured bacterium. RNAcentral's name for it is "partial 16S ribosomal RNA". It matches the Rfam family "Bacterial small subunit ribosomal RNA", at positions 29 to 507 of the family's 1533-position model. The record is from RNAcentral.